This 511-nucleotide ribosomal RNA is filed under the name uncultured bacterium. RNAcentral describes it as "bacterial SSU rRNA". It matches the Rfam family "Bacterial small subunit ribosomal RNA", at positions 28 to 525 of the family's 1533-position model. The record is from RNAcentral.
GAUGAACGCUGGCGGCAUGCCUAAUACAUGCAAGUCGAACGGAGUGAAGCCUUCGGGUUUCAUUCAGUGGCGAACGGGUGAGUAAUACGCAGGGAACCUGGCCAUGGCAGGGGGAUACACUCUGGAAACGGAGCAUAAGACCCCAUAGGCAGUAAGGCGGCAUCGCCUUACUGUUAAAGAAAGCUGCAAGGCUUUGGCGAUGGAUGGACCUGCGGUGCAUUAGCUUGUUGGUGAGGCAACGGCUUACCAAGGCGAUGAUGCAUAGCCGGCCUGAGAGGGCGGACGGCCACACUGGGACUGAGACACGGCCCAGACUCCUGCGGGAGGCAGCAGUAGGGAAUUUUCGUCAAUGGGCGCAAGCCUGAACGAGCAAUGCCGCGUGAGUGAGGAAGGUCUUCGGACUGUAAAGCUCUGUUGCCGGGGAAAAAGGGGAAAUGCAGGAAAUGGCAUUUCAUGGAUGGUACCCGGCCAGAAAGCCACGGCUAACUACGUGCCAGCAGCCGCCGUAAAC